AAAUUUAUAAAUAAUGAGACAUAAGGCCUUGUCAAAUUAGAUUUGAGUUCUUUGAUUAGUAGAUAUCUAUUUUCAUCAGGUAAACUUCAUUGAUGUAAAUAAUAUGGGGGAUGUAAACUAUCAAAAAGGUAGCUUCUUGUAUAUAUGAUUUGAAAAGAAAAAAUAUAAGAAACCCACCUCUCCUAUGACAUGUAUGAUAAGUUCAAAAUAGAUUAAUUUUUGCC
This 224-nucleotide long non-coding RNA is filed under the name Mytilus galloprovincialis (Mediterranean mussel). The record is from RNAcentral. Lineage: Eukaryota; Metazoa; Mollusca; Bivalvia; Mytilida; Mytilidae.